Molecule: ribosomal RNA, 468 nt
Filed under: uncultured bacterium
Lineage: Bacteria
Description: partial 16S ribosomal RNA
Rfam family: Bacterial small subunit ribosomal RNA
Source: RNAcentral
GAUGAACGCUGGCGGCGUGCUUAACACAUGCAAGUCGAACGGUGAAGGCGGAGCUUGCUCUGCUGGAUCAGUGGCGAACGGGUGAGUAACACGUGAGCAAUCUGCCCCUGACUCUGGGAUAAGCGCUGGAAACGGCGUCUAAUACUGGAUACGAGCUGCGAAGGCAUCUUCAGCAGCUGGAAAGAAUUUCGGUCAGGGAUGAGCUCGCGGCCUAUCAGCUUGUUGGUGAGGUAAUGGCUCACCAAGGCGUCGACGGGUAGCCGGCCUGAGAGGGUGACCGGCCACACUGGGACUGAGACACGGCACAGACUCCUACGGGAGGCAGCAGUGGGGAAUAUUGCACAAUGGGCGAAAGCCUAAUGCAGCAACGCCGCGUGAGGGACGACGGCCUUCGGGUUGUAAACCUCUUUUAGCAGGGAAGAAGCGAAAGUGACGGUACCUGCAGAAAAAGCGCCGGCUAACUACGUG